RNAcentral lists this ribosomal RNA (625 nucleotides) under uncultured fungus. Its description in RNAcentral is "eukaryotic LSU rRNA". It matches the Rfam family "Eukaryotic large subunit ribosomal RNA", at positions 24 to 664 of the family's 3401-position model. Lineage: Eukaryota; Fungi. The record is from RNAcentral.
CCCGCUGAACUUAAGCAUAUCAAUAAGCGGAGGAAAAGAAACCAACAGGGAUUGCCUCAGUAACGGCGAGUGAAGCGGCAAGAGCUCAAAUUUGAAAGCUGGCCCCCUCGGGGUCCGCAUUGUAAUUUGCAGAGGAUGCUUCGGGAGCGGCCCCCAUCUAAGUGCCCUGGAACGGGCCGUCAUAGAGGGUGAGAAUCCCGUCUGGGAUGGGGUGUCCGCGCCCGUGUGAAGCUCCUUCGACGAGUCGAGUUGUUUGGGAAUGCAGCUCUAAAUGGGUGGUAAAUUUCAUCUAAAGCUAAAUACUGGCCGGAGACCGAUAGCGCACAAGUAGAGUGAUCGAAAGAUGAAAAGCACUUUGAAAAGAGAGUUAAACAGCACGUGAAAUUGUUGAAAGGGAAGCGCUUGCGACCAGACUCGCUCGCGGGGUUCAGCCGGCAUUCGUGCCGGUGUACUUCCCCGCGGGCGGGCCAGCGUCGGUUUGGGCGGCCGGUCAAAGGCCCUCGGAAUGUAACGCCCCCCGGGGCGUCUUAUAGCCGAGGGUGCCAUGCGGCCAGCCCGGACCGAGGAACGCGCUUCGGCUCGGACGCUGGCAUAAUGGUCGUAAGCGACCCGUCUUGAAACACGG